GUUGGGUUUCUCCCUUUCUAGGGUUAGAAGGCAAGCCAAUAAGGUUGUCCACAGCUUAGCUAGGGCUUCUUUAUGUCAUGCUAGCCUUAUUGUUUGGGAUGAUCUCCCUAAUUUUCUUUCUGCUUUUGUUAUGGAUGAUGUUCUUUUACUAGGUUUUUUCACUUAGCUUUUUUGGUCCUAGGUUGGAUGUAUGGGGUUGGCCUAUUGGCCAAGGUUUAGGAUGGACCAUCUAAGUUAAGUUAUUCUCGGUUUGUUAAUAUGUUUAUUUUCCAAAAAAUUUAAAAAUCUAACACAUUGACUUACAGAUGGUGUGAAAACCAAAGGA
RNAcentral lists this unclassified non-coding RNA (325 nucleotides) under Hevea brasiliensis (rubber tree). Lineage: Eukaryota; Viridiplantae; Streptophyta; Magnoliopsida; Malpighiales; Euphorbiaceae. The record is from RNAcentral.